This 83-nucleotide transfer RNA is filed under the name Enterococcus faecium. RNAcentral's name for it is "tRNA-Leu". It matches the Rfam family "tRNA". From Rfam's summary of the family: Transfer RNA (tRNA) molecules are approximately 80 nucleotides in length. Their secondary structure includes four short double-helical elements and three loops (D, anti-codon, and T loops). The record is from RNAcentral. Lineage: Bacteria; Bacillati; Bacillota; Bacilli; Lactobacillales; Enterococcaceae.
GCAGGUGUGGCGGAAUUGGCAGACGCACUAGAUUUAGGGAUCUAGCGCCUUACGGCGUGGGGGUUCAAGUCCCUUCACCCGCA